AUCUAUCUUGAAACCCUUGAACCAAUGACCCCCUGAUCUACUUCUCAUUCUCAUUAUGCUACCAUUUGGGCUUUUGAUCAUGGUAAUCAUGUUCCUUCUAUGCCUUAAUAUAGUAGUCCUAUGAGAAAACCCUGUAUUUGCAUCACCCUCUUUCAGUGAUUCUACUUUGACUUCUGCCACCAAUACACCUCUUGUAUUGCAAAAUUCUUAUUGUGCAACUGAAUACACCUCGACAGCUAUAUAUAUUCUUCCACAGACAAUCCCCCUA
RNAcentral lists this long non-coding RNA (268 nucleotides) under Elaeis guineensis (African oil palm). RNAcentral describes it as "long non-coding RNA (EGUI_LNC004010)". The record is from RNAcentral. Lineage: Eukaryota; Viridiplantae; Streptophyta; Magnoliopsida; Arecales; Arecaceae.